GUGCCAGCAGCCGCGGUAAUACGGGGGGUGCGAGCGUUGUCCGGAUUCACUGGGCGUAAAGGGCGCGUAGGCGGCCGCAUCAGUCGGGCCUGUAAGUGCGGGGCUCAACCCCGUGAUGGGCUCGGGACGGUGUAGCUGGGGCGCGGCAGAGGGAGACGGAAUGCCGGGUGUAGUGGUGAAAUGCGUAGAGAUCCGGCGGAACACCGGUGGUGAAGACGGUCUCCUGGGCCGAGAGCCGACGCUGAGGCGCGAGAGCGUGGGGAGCGAACCGGAUUAGAUACCCUGGUAGUCC
This 292-nucleotide ribosomal RNA is filed under the name uncultured bacterium. RNAcentral's name for it is "partial 16S ribosomal RNA". It matches the Rfam family "Bacterial small subunit ribosomal RNA", at positions 505 to 796 of the family's 1533-position model. The record is from RNAcentral.